RNAcentral lists this ribosomal RNA (708 nucleotides) under uncultured bacterium. RNAcentral describes it as "bacterial SSU rRNA". It matches the Rfam family "Bacterial small subunit ribosomal RNA", at positions 91 to 786 of the family's 1533-position model. The record is from RNAcentral.
GCGAGCGGCGGAUGGAUGAGUAACACGUGGGGAACCUGCCCCUAAGUCUGGGAUACCAUUUGGAAACAGGUGCUAAUACCGGAUAAUAAAGCAGAUCGCAUGAUCAGCUUUUGAAAGGCGGCGUAAGCUGUCGCUAAGGGAUGGCCCCGCGGUGCAUUAGCUAGUUGGUAAGGUAACGGCUUACCAAGGCGACGAUGCAUAGCCGAGUUGAGAGACUGAUCGGCCACAUUGGGACUGAGACACGGCCCAAACUCCUACGGGAGGCAGCAGUAGGGAAUCUUCCACAAUGGACGCAAGUCUGAUGGAGCAACGCCGCGUGAGUGAAGAAGGUUUUCGGAUCGUAAAGCUCUGUUGUUGGUGAAGAAGGAUAGAGGUAGUAACUGGCCUUUAUUUGACGGUAAUCAACCAGAAAGUCACGGCUAACUACGUGCCAGCAGCCGCGGUAAUACGUAGGUGGCAAGCGUUGUCCGGAUUUAUUGGGCGUAAAGCGAGCGCAGGCGGAAAAAUAAGUCUAAUGUGAAAGCCCUCGGCUUAACCGAGGAACUGCAUCGGAAACUGUUUUUCUUGAGUGCAGAAGAGGAGAGUGGAACUCCAUGUGUAGCGGUGGAAUGCGUAGAUAUAUGGAAGAACACCAGUGGCGAAGGCGGCUCUCUGGUCUGCAACUGACGCUGAGGCUCGAAGCAUGGGUAGCGAACAGGAUUAGAUACC